Molecule: ribosomal RNA, 425 nt
Filed under: uncultured bacterium
Lineage: Bacteria
Description: partial 16S ribosomal RNA
Rfam family: Bacterial small subunit ribosomal RNA
Source: RNAcentral
GUGAGGAAUUUUCCGCAAUGGGCGAAAGCCUGAUCCAGCCAUGCCGCGUGAACGAUGAAGGCCUUCGGGUUGUAAAGUUCUUUAGCCGAUGAUUAUAAUGACUGUAGUCGGAAAAUAAGCCCCGGCUAACUUCGUGCCAGCAGCCGCGGUAAUACGAAGGGGGCGAGCGUUAUUCGGAAUCACUGGGCGUAAAGCGUGCGUAGGCGGUUUUGUAAGUUAGGAGUGAAAGCCCAGGGCUCAACCUUGGAAUUGCUCUUAAAACUGCAAGGCUCGAAUCUCGGAGAGGAUAGCGGAAUUUCCAGUGUAGCAGUGAAAUGCGUAGAUAUUGGAAGGAACACCAGUGGCGUAAGCGGCUAUCUGGACGAGUAUUGACGCUGAGGCACGAAAGCGUGGGGAUCAAACAGGAUUAGAAACCCCUGUAGUCC